AAAAGGGUCUUAUAAUUAGGGACGGAGGUAGUAUUGAUUGGACGGCUACUGAUGAUCUGAAUGCAUGACAUGAAUACAUUUUUUUCUUUGACAUUAACAAAUCCUGUGGCCGUUUCUCUUUGUCUUUUAUUAUGUUAGCCCGUUUCCCUC
RNAcentral lists this microRNA precursor (150 nucleotides) under Medicago truncatula (barrel medic). Its description in RNAcentral is "miR5205c stem-loop (mtr-MIR5205c)". Lineage: Eukaryota; Viridiplantae; Streptophyta; Magnoliopsida; Fabales; Fabaceae. The record is from miRBase by way of RNAcentral.